AUUAAAAGGAGAAUGUUUGAGUUAUAUUAGAACAUAAUGCGAAAGAUAUAUUUAAUAAGAUUUUUUUUUUUUUUUUUUUCCAUUAGUGAAAAAUGCCAUCGCCAUGUUAAGAGCUCUGCCAUCCAUGUUUCCUUCACUUUCUCUACCCCCAAAAAAGCUGGGAAACAAAACAUGAGGCAUUAGUUCAUGGCCUUAAGACCUCCGAGAAUCCUGAUGCCUUUCUACAGCAAAGACUGACCACUGACUAGCGCUGCCCUUAUUGUGGACCAAGAUAACUGCAUGCUAGCUAUUGGAAGUGACCAUUUGACAACUUUCCCUCAAGAAAUGUUGUAGGAAGGUAUCAUGUACCUUAUGGCGUACUAUUAUGCACUACAUCUAACAUAUCCUAAGUGCAUUGCCGCGGUCCUCUCUGCAAUUCAAACUGAAAUAUUACUGGAUGCAAUUUGAAGGGAAAAUACAAAUAUGCUAGAAGAAAAAUUGUGAGCGCCAAAUGUAGAACAGGAAAUGCAUGUCUAUGAUGUACUGUAUAUAAUUACCAUUACCAUAUUUGAAAAUCAAUUGGAUAAAUUGUAGAUAAUUUGAUAUUUUGUGGAUUGUAACAUGUUAGGUUGUAUUUUCUUUGUCUUGUUUUUUGGCAAAGUUACCACUGUUAAAAUUUUGCUUAUGUAAUUAAGUUUGUUAUGCAUUUCUGACUGUGACAAGAUGAGACAGUCCUGAACUACAAUGUACAAUAAUGAUAUGGAUAUGACGUUUGUGUUAUAUACAAGGUAAUCUUCCUGUGUCAACUAAUUUUCAUGUGCUUAUGUUUUUCUCUGUUUCUGUAUUGUAAACACAGCAGUAGUGCUGUUGGAUACUGAUGUAAUACUUAAAUAAAGAGCAAUGUUAAUGA
Molecule: long non-coding RNA, 889 nt
Organism: Erpetoichthys calabaricus (reedfish)
Lineage: Eukaryota; Metazoa; Chordata; Cladistia; Polypteriformes; Polypteridae
Exons: 2
Source: RefSeq, a predicted model, not a curated record